Non-coding RNA from Mycena epipterygia, 97 nucleotides. The record is from the annotation of a GenBank genome assembly. Lineage: Eukaryota; Fungi; Basidiomycota; Agaricomycetes; Agaricales; Mycenaceae.
GUCCUCGUAGAGCACGGAAGCUCGCUCCUUCAUUAUAUGUAAGCAAUGUCAGCGCGACUUUUAGGGAGAGGUGGUGGUUCGACUCCACCUGAGGACA